UCAAAUGUCUUGUUUUGUCCACAACUCAGAUAUUCAGUUCCCUGUCCCAGAGGAGAGAAGAAACUAGAACAAUAUUCACGUUUAACAAAGCUGACAUCACACCAUUUUGUCGUUGAAAUAAAAUGACACAAA
Long non-coding RNA from Sander lucioperca (pikeperch), 132 nucleotides. RefSeq lists it as uncharacterized. The transcript has 3 exons. NCBI's taxonomy places the organism in Eukaryota, Metazoa, Chordata, Actinopteri, Perciformes, Percidae. The record is from RefSeq and is a predicted model, not a curated record.